CUCUAAUGGCCAAGGCAUCAGUUCCUCCAGCUUCUGGGAGUUUGUACAUGUCUACAUCUUGCUCAAAUGUGAUGGCUUCAACGUCUGACAAGAUGAGUGUACCUACAGAGAUUCAGCAUGACGGUAUAUCACCAAAAUCUGAGAGGUUAUUCAUGCCUGCAAGUUCUCAGGGCAUAUAUGCCGAAAACCAAAUAAUGUCAGCACAUAAUUAUCGUGGCCAAAUAACACCACAAACUCAUCCGUCCUCUCAGUCAUUAUAGGAUGCAACUUUUCCUUAUAAUUCUAGUGCAUGUGGAUACAACUUUUCUCUAGAAUGGUUAUAGAUUUAGCUUUUUCUCGCUUACAUUUUGAUUUCAAGACAUUGACCCUCAAGAGUAAUAACCUUGAACUCCUGCUCGUCAGUUCAAUAAAUGCCAGAAAUCUAAACUGCUGUGCAUACUCUAUUCUUCUGCUCGGGCAUCUGCUCCAACUCCACCAUUAUCUCCGCAGAUCACAUUGAACAUACAACUGGGGAACUGCCCACCAUGCCACAUCUACUUGCCACGUUCUGUAACGUUUUAAACCUUUCCCUUUCCUCUUUGUAGCAAGUAAUUUUCCGGUAAACAAAUAUAUAUUUGAUCCCUUUCCUUUGAACCAACCAAAAAAAUAAAUAAAUAAAUGGAGUCAAUAAUGUAAUGAUGAGGUAAAGAACGCGUAUGCAUGCAUGGCCAUUAAUUUUCAUCCAAGCGUGAAUGAGAAGAGGACACGUAUCAAAAUUUUAGUGUGAAAGAAGAAAUCCAUGAACUCGUCGUAUCCUAUUCCUAUCUUUUAUUGGAUUGGUGGAGGGUCAAAGCACCCCAAUUACAUACUCUCUCCGUCCCACUUUGUUAGUUCUGAUUCUUUUCUUACACAGUUUAAGAAAAAAUAGUUAAUUUUGUUAGAAUAAUCAAUUUAGGUAGCUAUUUUUCUAAAAUAUUCUCACAUUAAUUAGAGUACAACUUUAUGUGAACUUGAAUUGAUGGUAAAAGAAGAAUAAACUCUCAUUGAAUGGGGUAUGUUUAUAGUAACAACAACUUACAUUGAAUAAGGGUAUUUUAGAAAAAUUAAAAUACAACUACAUUCUUCAAUUGGAAAGUAGACUACAAUUUGGGACAGACGAAAAAGGAAAAUAGAACUAUCAAAGUGGGACGGAGGGAGUAGUAUACUUGUACUAACAAACAAGGUCUCACAAAGACAAUGAAUUGCAUGGAAACCUGCGUGGACCAGAAAGAUAAAAGGGAUGUCUUGCUGCUGGAUACGAGACAGAGACUGUCAUUAGGUGGCUCGUUCAUGAGCGGUUCAUGGUCAAGAUUUGAUCCCAAAUAUUUGUAUGGUCCAAAUCACUCCUUGUACCUCUUUUUUAAUAACGUGUGUGGGGCUCACAAAAAUUUAUUCUAAAGUUACACGUUGUGCAAACAAAGUUACGCCCUGUGAAAAUAAAGUUACGUACUAUGCAAAAUGUAUAUAAUUACCAGGAACGCUUGCACCUGCAAUCGUUCCUGCCCCUGGUGCCUGGCUGCUUGACUGGAUUGGACUGGAUUGGUGGAGGGUCAAAGUACCCCAAUUACAUAGUAUACUUAUACUAACAAACAAGGGUGUGGUCUUAUCAGCAAAAUAUCACAAAGACAACGAAUUGCAUGGACACUUGCGUGGACCAGAAAGAUAAAAGGGAUGUCUAGCUGCUGGGACCGUCCCUGGGCUAUUUAUGACCAAGAUUUGAUUCCAAAAAUUUGUAUGAUUCAAAUCAUUUUUUGUACCUCGUUUUUAAUAAUGUGUGUGAAUCUCACAAAAAUUUGUUCUAAAGUUACACAUUGUGCAAACAAAGUUACGUCGUGUGAAAAUAAAGUUAUGCGCUAUACAAAAUGUAUAUAAUUACCAGGAACGCUUGCACCUACAACCGUUCAUGCCCCUGAUCCCUGACCGCUGGACUGGACUGGGAAGAGAAUCCAACCGACGUCUUCUUGUAUCCUUUCAACGCUUAGCAAUAAGAUCACAAAGACAAUAUGAAUUUGGUCGGUUUCAUUUUAAAGAAAGAUUCUUUUGGUAAUUGCAAUUAUAAUCAUCGUAAGUCCCUUGUCCCUUAGCAGAAAGAACUACUAUUAAGAAAAAACAAAAAUUAAGACAGUAUCGCAUUAAAAAUUAAGAAAAGUUUUUUUUUUCGUUUUAAAGUUAUGUGCUGGAAAAACCGUCAAGUCAUCAGAAGUGCAGUAUUAUCACAUAAGCUUGUUCAAAACACUAAUCGUAGAGAAAAGAUUCAGUACAUGAGCUAUAGUACUAAAAAGAAAAAGGAAAAAUGCAGAUGAAGAAGGCCAAUCUAAUUGUGCCCAGAAGAGAAGAAGAUGGCCUAAAGAAUAAUAAUUUGUUCGAAAACCAUUGAAGAAAUUCUGCCAAAUAAAUGAUCUUACGAUAUUAUAUAUGAAAAGAGUACUGAUAAAAAAAAAAAAAGAAGAUGGGGUUUUAAGUUUUGACCAGAAAUUACGUGUGGUGCAGACGAAGUCGAUGGUACAAUCUUCUAUCUCUCUAUCUUUUUAUGUUUUUUUUUUCCCAUCUCAUUUCAAUUAGCAAACUUUAACCUUUGCAAUGAGAUAUGGACAUUAGCAAAUGUGAAGUGGCGCCCAUGCAUCCUCACCUGUAGCAAAUGUAGAAAAUUUUCCACAAUCAACUGGUGGGACAUUAAUAUUGGGCAGAAAGGAAAAACCAAGAAAAUCGUUUAAAAUAAUACUCUAAAAAUAUUGCAAAAGCAAGGAGUCAAAUUUAGUUUUUUUUUUUCCUAAAAAAAAAAGGAAAAGAAAAGAAAAGAAGAAGUUGUCCAACUUCACUAAUGGUGCUUGAAUCGAUAUCGUUUUGUCAUGUUUACAUGCAUCCAAAAUUUUGUUUCUCCUCAAUGUUAAUUGCGAGUGAUUUUGAUGCUCUUAACAAAAUUGGCGGAGUUUUGACUUGAACUUUAAUCACCUCAUAUUGUCAGUGGAGAUGGCAACUAAAAUAGCUUUUUAACUUAUCGUUGUGUAUCGUACAGAUGUAACACGUCAUUUUGGCAGUUGAGAUGUGAAAAUGAGCACUUACACUUAACAAAGUGAUUUUGGCAUGCAUGCAUGCAUGGUUUCCAACAUGUUCAUUGGUUCCCCGAAAGUAUAUCUUUCUUUAAUUCACAAGCUAACAACCAAACGGAGGAUUUCUUGAUCCCAUAUCAAAUCAUAAAAUCUCUAAAAGAAACUUAAACCUUUCUGCCAUCAAAUCAUGACUGCCACUAACUCCCUGGUACCAAAUUUUCCGAGUUUCAAAACCACAUAAGAAUACAAAGAAACUUUUACAUUCUUCACUGACAUUAGCAGCAUGGAAAGAACAGCCAGAGAACGAAUCAGACUAGAGAUUCUCUAUAAACUCCAAAAAAAAUUACUGUAAUCUCCAAAAAAAAAAAAAUGCAAAAUUCACUAAUAGAAAACCUACAAGUGAACAAAAUUACUCGUGAAGUCUCGUCCUAUUACUUUCGGUCUUAAUAAGUGAAGUCUCUAGGAAGUCCUAAAUUCUUCCAUCCCUAAAAAUUGAGUGACCCAAAAACACUAGAAAAAAUGUUAUCAUUUUUUUUUGCUGAUCACACUCUUACUAUAAUUUUAAUUUUAUAGUUUUCAUUAUUAAACUGUAUGUAAUUAUUUUUAAUAAAUGGAUAUAAAUGAAUAAUGCUAGUCAAUCAAUUAAAUGGGUUUAGAUGAGUCGCCUAUCUAAACCCAGUCAAAAUUUAUUAUCUGCGCAAAUCAGCUUAUUAAUGUGUGAGUUAUGGGUGGAUUAGUAUAAUUUUGGAUUGUGAUUAACAUAUCUAGCUUACUAUUAUGGGAAUCCCAUAAAAGGUACAAUUAAACUUUUAUAUUCCGUACUUUCAUAUAUAUUCUAGAUAGAUAGAUCUUCUAUACAUGAAAAUAAAAAAAAAAAACAAAAAAAAAAAGUCACGCUACGCAACCAAUUUAGGAUUUUUUCGUGCAGUAAUUGGUAAAAGUAGGGUUGAGUUCAGAAAACAAACAUCACACGUGUAAUAACGCAUGCGCGAAGUCACUUAGAUCUAACCACCAAAUUCUUGAGGUACAUUCAGCUGUUCUGGUUCAGUUAUUAAAUAAAUUAUAGUAGAUGAUUAAUAAUUCUUUGGCUAUUCAGCCGUUGUGGUUCAGUUAUUAAAUUAUAGUGCCUAAUUCUUUGGCUAAGUGGUGGCCCUUGUGCAGAUAUUUAAGACAGAUUCGGAUGGCUUUGGAACCGUUCAAGGUUACCCACGCAGCUGUUUUCCUAUGACCUGCCAGCAAGAAUCCGAGGGGAGAGUCAAGACUUGUGGCAUUUUUUCUUGGGAUGAUUCUUGCUUUUGGGCUUAUCACGAGACAGCUUUCUUCUUCUUCUUUCUUUGCUUUUUAAUGGCACCAAGAAUGGUCCAUUAUUAACCAUCCAAAUUGGAUUAGGUGAAACAAUAAUUAAUUUCAAUGCAGAAGAAAAUCUUGUCGUGCAUUUAUGGAUGGUGCGCAUUAAUAAGUGAGGAGUCGUGUUAGAAUCUUGGAAUGUCCUGUGCGCCUUUUCCUUUUUGUUUGGAUGAUUGAGCCUCCAUGCAUCCAUGCAUACACUAAUAAAAAGCAGAGGAAACAUGAUGGUUAGAGGAGAGCAAGUGUGAAAUGCAAAAUGAAAGGCUCGUACAGAAACUUGGGCAUGGAAUGGCUGCAGUAAAGAUGGACUGAAAGCUACCAAGACAUCAUUAUCUUAUCGGAAAGCUUUGAGAUGUGCUAUUAUUAUGUAAUUAAUCAGGAUAGGAAUAUAAUCACUAGCUAAUAGUGCACCAUAAACGCACUAAUAGGACUCGGGCGGGCAUUCGCGAAUUCGUGGUACCAACUCUUGGACGUUGUCUUAUCGGCAAAAGAUUGAAUCAAUUUCCUUUCUUCUUUCUUAUUUUCGUUUUUCCCUUUUUUUUUUUGGACAAUAAAAUGCAAGUCCUUUUUUUUUUUUUGGGAAUAAAAUACAAGGCCUUAAGUACGUUGCUUGCGUCUAUUUGGAGCUUGCACGUGUUCUCAAUCUAUGUACCAUGAUGAAUGCUGCCUUGCUUUUCCUUUUCUGGUUUCUGGGUACGAGGUCCGACAAAAAAUGUUUCAUGCUUCAUUGCUUUACAAUAUGCUAAUGAAGCCUUGCUUCCAGGAGAAGCUGGACCCAGAGACUUUGCGCUGAAUCUUGCCAUAAGGGGUCCUAUUCGGAGCUGUAAUGAUGAGUUUUUAAGUUUUGAGUGCGGUGCAGUCAAUGCCUCAACGGUACAAUCUUUGCUCUCUCUCUCUCUCUCUCUGAAUAUCUUUUCUCUCUCUGAGGCAGUCAAUGGCGAAAGGUUACUAGCACUAAAUUAAGGCUCAUAUCAAUCAUCUUCCCAUGUUUGGCGGCUUGAGUUCUGAAUGAAUUAAUUUUCGUUAAGCACUGGAACCCUCCUGUUUGCUCACCCACGUCAAAAUAGAACGUCGGCGAGCAAUCUUUCAAACACAGAAUCAUGCAAAGUACAUAGCUUUUCCUUUUUCUUUUUGGCUUUUUGGUGGUGAUAGCAACAUUUACAUUUUACAAAUGCCAUCCACUGCUAUGAAGCAAGCACAACAAAAGACAAUUACCAAAGGAGGAGGAAAAAGAAACAAAGGCAUGAUGCUUUUCCAGAUAAACAAUCACCAGCUUGUCAAAUCAGAAGUCUUAGAUCCCAAAAGAGAAAGCGUUUCACAGUUCGGAGUAACAGAUGCUUGGCUGCUGAAAAAGCUUGCUCCAUAUAUACCCAUCGCCCUUCUUUAGUCUCUCUGCCUCCCACUUCAGCCCAGUUGUUUUCCCCAUUAUCAUUCAUCGCAAGUACCCUUCUUCUCAAAAUCUCUUCCUGAACACCCUGCUUUGUAUCCGUGACUGACUUCAUUCUUCUUGUCCGUUGCAGGUCCCUUGAUCACAACAAGGAUUCUACUACUAUCCAAGCCUUGCCACGCUCGAAAGUAAAUUUCCAAUUGCUUCUUCGUGUUUUCUGAUUUGAAUUCUUUGGUUCAAUUAAUCAUCUUCCUCAAGUUUCUAUUUCAAAAGCCUCAAUCUUCAGGUUUUCUUGGAUGUUGUUUAAUUAUCAAAAAGCAAAAAGCCUCUAAUGUUGAUCUGUGUACAUAGCUUAUGAUUGCUGACAUGGGUAAAGAGGUAAUCAAGAUGAGCAGCAAUAUAUUAGUCCUCCUCAUUAAACAUUCAUGGAGAUUUUUUAGAGUUCUCUCUUUCCUUUUCAGAGUUUUUAGUUUUUUUUUUUUAACGUUUUCAUUUUGGGUAGCUCCAUUUCCCAUUGGGUCUAGGUCAAGCAAGAAGUUUUAGGGCUUUUCCUUGUUGAUGUUCUUUAUAGAUUUGCACCAAGAACAAGAACAACUUCUGUAGCCUGCAACUCUCCUUUAUUUUGAUAGCACUAUCUCUUCCGCUUGUAAGACAACUGGAUCUAGCAUCAAUGGCUAGUUACUCCAUCUAUGGAGAUUAUGAGGGUUCUCUUUUUUCUCUGUGUUUUUUUCUUUUUUUUUUAUAUAAAGAUAUCUUCGCUUGUAAGAAAAUUGUAGAACCAUUCAGUCCCUUGACUAUAACCAUGUUAAUUGCACUUUUAAAAAGGGCUAGUUCCACUUCUGUCCCUUGACUUAUAACCCAUUCCACUUUGCUCUAAUUUUGGACACAUUACAGCUAACAAUACCAACAUUUUUAGGUAUAUCCCAUUUUGGUCCAGCUAUUAAUAGUGUUAAAACAGUUAAGGGAGUUAUUAGUAGUGCUGAAAAAAAUUAGGCUCUAGCAUGUACACUCACACGCAUGUAAAUCAGUAGGUCAGAGUUCACUUCUCACCUCCUAUUUGUCGUUAGUUCACUAUUUGUACCCUUAAUGUUUGGACAUAUUCCACACUUUAUUUCUUUUAUAGUAUGUUAUUACAAAUUUUUUUGAAAUGCCACGUUAGACAUACAUAGAUUUUUCAUCUUAUAUUUGGCACACACACCUUAUUGCGUCAAAUUUAUAAAAUUAUUUCUAUAUAGUAUUUAUCAUACUUGUGUAUCUGUGUGUGUGUGUAUAUAUAUAUAUAUAUACAACACUACAACUAUGCUACGAAUAACUAAUUAAACAGGGUGAACAGCUCUACUGCUAUGGUGUAUCUUAUCAAGAACAAUAAAUUACAUAGGUGUUUAUUGGAUUCUGUUUUUUAAAUAAAUUAUCCAGGUUUAAUCAUUCAUAAAUGAAUCAUUUGUGAACAAGUUUAAUUAUCUUUUACUUUAAUUUACAGAAUGCGCUAUUCCUCACUUAGACAUUUCUAUCCUUGCUUUUUCUAGUAUAUUAUAAUAUUUUGUAUAAUUGUAGGGAUAUAAAAAUUACAAAAAUAAGUGUUUGAAUUUUACUCUAGCAAGGUCAUGCAUGAAAUGGCAGGUAAAAAGUUAUGUAUCCUACCCAUUCAAAUUUGUAUAACAGAUAAAAACCAAGUAAGGGGAUGGAAUGUGUCCAAAAAUUAGAAUUUGAGUGCAAAAAGUAAAAGCAAGUAGUACUAAUUUAGGGUGGAAACUGGAAUUUGGCCUGCGAACCAAUAUUAUGUGGCACUCAGAUGCGUAACACUUGUUAGGACUCCCACAGCGCAAUUAACAAAUUAAAGAGUCCAAUUAAUUAGUUGGACUAUAACGAAGACUUAGGGUGCAAUUUAUCUGAAACUAAAAUUUAAUAGGUUAAGUGAUAAUUGGUCAUUAAUUAGAAGGUCAGAAAAGUGAAAUAAGUUUGCUUUUAAGUAAUUAUGCUUUUCUUUCGAGUGGAUUUUCAUUAAUUUUUCUACAUUUUUCUUUCUUAAAAGAUGUGGAUUUUCAUUCCGUACGUACUGGGACUUGUACCAUUUAUUUCCAUGAAACCCAUUCCGUGUACAAGCAUUAUCAAUUUUCCCUAGUACAUGAAGCAACUAAUAAUAAGGGUUUUGUGCACAAAUGAUAAUACCAUGUCACGUUCUCCUAUCCCUCUUACAGAAUUUCCCAAGGACAAUUUAGGGGUUUCUUUGGGUACUUAAUUAUUUGAAGCUUUGUUUAACCGCCAGGUUGAUCUUUAGCAACUAGUGCAGGGACUAUGUUGAAGUAAAUGCAUAUUUCUCCAAAUUUUUGGGGUGCUUUAUUGAUCCUACUUGGCUAAGAAAACAAUAUAAUUAAUGAAUCAGUGAUAAAACAUUUCCAUAAGUCAGUAUAAUGAGGAUGAAUUUUCUGUUGCUAAUGUUUACAUGCAAAAAAAAACUAAAUGUUGAUUUGAUAUAAGAAUGGCUGAUCAAGGAAGGCCUGAGCAACGUCCUGGGGAUGAGGUCGUCGUUCAAUACCAGAUACGCCGCAGAGGUGGUCUUGUGCAGAGGAUAAAAUACAUUUUGAUUAGCAACUUCAACAGUUUUGGAUACCUUGAGUGGUAUCUGUUAGAAAUAUGUGAUAAUCGAGAUGGCGCAGACUUCAUAGACAUAUCCUACACCAGGUAUGGUGAUCCGUACAAUGAUGUGAAUAACAUUGAGCGCAGGCUGGGGAGCCAGCCAUGGGAGGAUUUUGCUGCAACUGUUUAUCAAAUUCUCAUCAGGAGGGUUUGAGGCUUAAAAGUUCCAGCAGCAUGUCAAUCAACGCUUUUAUGAUCAUCAGCCGAUGAUUUUUUAGUGCUUUCUUCAUCAUUUCCCAGAACCCGGCCAGCUGCGUUUUCUAGAUAACUAAUUAAGUAGUUCUUGUAAUAUAAAAUAUAAAUAUUUCAGUUCUUGCGCUUGGUUUUUAUGGACUAAUUUUAGUCUUAUGAUAUGCUUGAGUGGUAUUGAAAGUGGAUAAAAACUUGUCAUGAUGAUGCUCACUGCCCGCUAGUUACUGCUUAAAUGUUCUUGGCAUUUAACGAGGUGGGGGUCUGAUUGCGUGAAUGGUGACAAAGAAUAGCUAGUCUGUUGUGUAUGUGUGAUUUUUAUACAUAGGUAGGAAGAAAUUAGCUAGUCUUUUGUCAUUAAGUUCAAGGGAUCUCAGGAAUAAUGUAACUUUGAACUCUUUUUUUUCCUAAACCAUUCCUUCUUUACACCCAAUCAAUAAAUAAGUAAGCUUAUCCGUUAUAAGUAGUAUUAAACUAUUUUAGCAAACCAACUACGGGGAACAAAAAAAAAAAAAAAAAAAAAGCAGAGAGCAUGUGCAAGAAAAGUAGGAAUGGUGACAAGAAUAGCUAGUGCUAAGAUUAGGAUGCAGUAGAAAGAGAUACAUGAUAAUGUCGACAUACUAAGACUAGGAUGCAGCUGUAGAAAGAGAAACACUAUAACAAAGAUGAUCAGAAGAAUAAUACUAUUAUAUACUUGUAAAAAACAUUAUUAUUAUUUUAGUUCUAGAGAUGUUUGUUUCCUUUCUUCACUCACGUUCAUUAGAUAUUUAACUGGAUCUUCAGAAAGUAUAGCUAGGCUCAUUAAUUAACUACAUCUUAAUCAUAGAUCCUCUUCCUAGCUAUUUCUGGUGGAACAAACUUAAAUUCAUUAAUUUGUCUCUUAGCUUCAUUAUUAAAUUUCAUAAGCCUUGUUGAAGAACAUCUUGGCAUAUAAGGUCAAGGCUUUGUAUUAAUAAUUGGACCGUGUUCAGCUCAUGAAUGCCAACAUUCUUUAAUUUACGCAUAGAUAUUGUCACCCGAAUUUUCUUAAAUGCUACAUUAUCUAUCAAUUUUGAUUCUUUUAACACUUUUUUUUUUUUUUUUUUUUAAAGAAACGAGAACAAGAAGAUGCAUUGGAUUCAUCAAAAGUAUUUACAAGUCACCAUUUAUAAAUAUCCUUUUGUAGCCAAGGCAAAAGAUAGUCAGGGGGCUAUCAAAAACCAUACAUCCUACUAUUUAUAUCAAAAGGCAGUUCCAAUGCAUGCAUGCAUGCAUGGACAAUGCGUCUGCUGCAAAGUUACAUUGAGUGUGUUUGGAUUGAAAUGAUUUGGAAAAAAAUAAUUUGCUUCGUAAAUCUCAAUCAUUUUUUUAUCUUUUCAAUCAUCUUUUUAUCUCACAUAUAUCAUAUCACAAAAAAUACUAUAGUAAUUAUCUCAAAUAAAUCAUCCAAAUAAACUCUUAUAUCCAAACAAACUCAUUAUUCUCUUGGCCGAAACUCCAGAUGGCAACUGGGUAGUAAACCAACAGCCUUUGAGCUAUUCGCCACCGUCAAGUCCUCGAGUCUUGGUGAGGUGGGAGUUCAAGGGUUCAAAUCUUGUCUUUCACCAAUUAUCACAAUAUGUGGUUUCUCUAAAAAAUUCAUACGGAUGAUCCGAUGAUAGUUUAAUCUCAAUCGGUCCUUCGUAGGCUCAGUUGGAUCACUUCUUUAUAUUAGGAUAGAGUAGGAUAAAAUAAAUAAAGUGACGAUGACAAAAAACCAUCGGUGCCCUAUAGUUUCAAUUGGGUCUCCCCUUAUAUUAAAAUAGAGUGGGAUAAUAUAGAUAAAGCGAUGACGACAAAAAAAUAAAAAUAAAAAACUGGAUAGUAGAGUUUAUCAUUUCCUGCCGGUCCUUCACAAGGUUGCUUUUCCUUGGACUUGCUCGAGUUUUCCUGCGUAUAGCAUUAACAAUAAUCUGGCCGUCAGAAUGCAUCGCGAGCUUAUCAAUUUUGAAUGUCAGAGCCAAAAGCAGUCCUGCUCCAAUCGCACAAGACUCGGCCACGAAGUCACAAUCUGCAUAUUGAUGUUCCCUAUUAGCUGUUUCAUUCUCUCUAAGACUGGCCGUGCUACACACAGCUAAUGCUUACUUGCAGGGAUCCAAAUGCAGCAAUUUGUGUAACAACAAUUGCAGAAAUAUUAUUGUUUUCUUGGGAAAGAUAACAAAUUGUUUAUUUGUAUAUGUAGGUGUGUUUUUAAAUAUUAUGAGAACUUUUAUCUUUCUUCGUCUAAAUAAGGAAAAAAAUAUUAGUGCCUUUAACUUCUAAAUAUGAGCGUAUUCUUAUAUUUAAGUCUAAUUUUUCCCCCCUAAAAAAAGAAAAAACAAUGAUAUAUUGUAAUAGUCAGUACCCAUCGCUUAAAAGUGAAGAAACUUAAUUAUGGUUGGCAAAAAUACCCUAACCCUACAACCCGUCUGCUAAUUUGAGAGAUUGGGUUGGGUCAAUUGAGUGUUGGACUAGUUAGGUGUAAGGAUGACAACGCGAGCCCCUGCACCGCGGGGGUAGAAAUGGGGCGGGGGCGGGGGCAAAAUAUUUCCCCCCGCCUUAAAACAGGGCGAGGAGUGGGGCAACAUACACCUGCCCCAUCCCCUGUCCCGUCCCCCGCAUACAAUUAAAAAAUAUAUAUAUAUAUAUAAUACAACCUCAAAUUUUCAAAAUUGCACUCUUAUUUACAAGUACAAUGUUAGGUAGUGUCAAUGGCCGUCGCAACAACUGAAGAAAUUUCUUGGACCAUUGUUGAUUUGUUUCCAACGCCCCCUCCCCAAGACUAAGCUAUCCAAUUCCAAUCCGUUUUGCUCCUAACCCAUUUUUAUUUUGACCGGUUUUCUUCCUCCGCACUGAAUGUAACUUGACUUGUUGUGUUUUAUUUCCAUCUUGACAACUUUUUAAUCUUAUUUAACAUUGUUUACAAUUGUAUUAUUGUAAGUAAACAUUUAUGAUAAGUUGAUUUCUUCCCCGCAGGGGAAACAGGACGGGGGCGGGGUGAGGGGCAAGGGGCGGGGGGUGGGGCGGGAGACGGGGGGGGGGAGUUAUUUGACAAUGGGGCAGGGGUCCCCCCUGCCCCGCCCCACCCUACCCCAUUGCCACCCCCUAGUUAGGUGUUGAGUGAAAAAACCCAAAUGAAUUCUCGGCAGUUUGGGUUGUUAGUUGGGUACCUAUUAAUUUUUAGUUUUGUCCAGCUAUCAAAAUAAAAAACAAACUCCAAAACUUGUAAGCGGCAUUGAUUUGGUCAAAUAAUUUUAUCUUCUCAAAAUUUUGAUAGGUAAAAUCGAUCUAAUUUUAUGGAGUUACAAACUUGGAACAAUGAAAACACAAGAAAGAUAUGAUUCCCCAGUGACUGCUACUAAUUAAUUAUUUAUCACCACUUACUAAAUACCAUCCAAAGAAAUAAUCCACCUGCAGACACCAAAACCCGGCCAGAUGAAUAAUUAAGUAGUUCGUGUAAUAUAAAAAAUAUACAUAUAUAUAUAUAUAUAUAUAUAUAUAUAUAUAUAUAUAUAUAUUUCAGUUCUUGCGCUUGUUUUUUGACGGAAUAAUUUUUGUCUUAUAAUAUGCUUGAUGUGUAUUGAAAUUAAGGUGGAUAAAAACGAGUCAUGAUGAUGCUCACUGCCCCGCUAAUUAAAUGUUCUGGGCUUCGAAACCGUGUACGUGGGUCUGAUUGCGUGCGUGAUUGGAGGUUUCUUCUUUCACUUUUCCUCUCUUUUGUUUGUUUGGUGAAAAGGGAGCUUAAGUUCUCAAUCUCUUCCCAUAAUUGAUUUCAUUACUUUCUCAAUGGAUCACGAAUUAAUGACGCACAUCCCCGCCAAGGACAUGAUGAAAUUGGUAGCCAUCCAUCAAUUUGUUUGCAUGCUGCAUCAAUAAUCCUAAUGUAUGUGUGAGCUAAGUCAAUUGUCAUUGAGUUCAAGAAAUGAGCUACUUACCAGCAGAAUUGAACUAUUUUAGCAAACCAGAAUAGCAGAGAGCAUGCAUGUGCAAGAAAAGUAGGAAUGGUGACAAGACUAGGAUGCAAUAGAAAGAGGCCAUGAUAAUGUCGACGUACAUAUUAAGAUUAGGAAGAGAGAGAAGCGUGAUAAUUAUGUCGACAUAUUAAGACUAGGAUGCAGCUGUAGAAAGAGAUACAUUAUAACCAAUUUGAUCAGAAGAAUAAUACUAUUAUAUACUCGUAAAAAACAUUAUUAGUAUUUUAGUUCUAGAGAUGUUUGUUUCCUUUCUUCACUCACGUUCAUUCGAUAAUUAACUGGAUCUUCAGAAAGUAUAGCUAGGCUCAUUAAUUAACUACAUCUUAAUUAAAGAUAGAUCCUCUUCCUAGCUAUUUCUGGCGGAACAAACUUAAAUUCAUUAAUUUGUCUCUUAGCUUCACUAUUAAAUUUCAUAAGCCUUGUUGAAGAACAUCUUGGCAUAUAUAUAAGGUCGGACCAUGUUCAGCUCAUGAAUGCCAACAUUCUUUAAUUUACGCAUAGAUAUUAAUGUGACCCCAGUUUUCUUAAAUGCAACAUUAUCUGUCAAUUUUGAUUCUUUUAACACUUCUUUUUUUUUUUUUGUUUUGCAAAGAAAGAAACGAGAACAAGAAGAUGCAUUCGAUUCAUCAAAAGUAUUUACAAGUCACCAUUUAUACAUGUCCUUUUGUAGCCAAGGCAAAAGAAGAUAGUGAGGGGGGCUAACAAAAACCAUAUCUACGUCCUACCAUAUAUAUCAAAAGGCAGUUCCAAUGCGUGCAUGCAUGCAUGCAUGAUAAUACGUCUACUGCAAAGUUACGUUCUCUUGGCGGAAAUUCCAGAUGGCAACUGGGUAGUAAACCAACCGCUUUGGGUUGUUGGCCAACACCAAGUUUUUAAGGUUUUGAGGGGUGAGAGUUUAAGGUUCAAAUCUUACCUUUUAUUAAUUGCCACAAUAUAUGAUUUCGCUAAAAAUUCAAAAUUCAUACGAGUGGUUCGAUGGUAGUUUAAAUCAUAUCGGUUCCGUAAGUUCAGUUAGGUCUCUUCCUUAUAUUAGGAUAAAGUAGGAUAAUAUAGAUAAAGUGACGAUAACAAAAAAUAAAUAAAUUUGGAUAGUGGAGUUUAUCAUUUCCUCGCAGUCCUUCACAAGGUUGUUUUUGCUCGAGUUUUCCUUUUUUUUCUAUCGAGAGAUAGAAACACACACAUUUAAUUAGAUUAGAAACGCUCAGGAGACACAUCCAAUUAAAUUAGAAACACUCAGGAGAUUAACGGUUAAAGGACCAGUUAACAGUAAUUUAAGGGACCAGUUUUCCUGCAUAUAGCAUUAGCAAUAAUCUGGCCGCCAGAAUGCAUGAUGAGCUCAUCGAUUUUGAAUCUCACAGCCAAAAGCAGCCCUUCUGUAAUCGCACGCAACUUGGCCACGAAGUCACAAUCUGCAAAUUGGAUUAAAAAAAGGGUUAAUCACAUUUAAUUCCCUUAAAGUAUAUCCCAUUUCUCAGUUUAUUGUCUAACUUUUAAUUUUACUCACUUAACCUUUUAUAAGACAAAAUUACCCUUGCAUUAUUUUGACUUUUUAUUUACCUUGUUUUCCUUUCUUUCCUUUCUUUUUCUCUUUCUUUUUUUAUUUAAUUCUUUAUCUUUUCCACAAAAUUCUUCACCUUAAUGAUUGAAAUUAAAAAAAGAGAAAUUACAGAGAUCUAUCUUCUUCUUAAAUGAUUAAAAAAAAUAUUCAAAUUACUUUCCUAAAAUACAAUUUUUUUAGCCUUUCAAUUCUUUUAAUUUUGGAUUUUCUUCUUUCCUUUCUAGUUUUUCAUUUUAUUCUCAAGAAAAUAUAAGAUGAAAUUGUUUUCCUUUCUUUUAUUUCUUUUUCUUUUUCUUCUAUCUCUCAUCGUUUCCAAUAGAAAAUUCCAUUUGUACGAAAAUUUUUAUUUGAAUUUGUAAUUGCAUAUUUCUAGGUGAAAAUUUAAAAGGCAUCAAAAACUAAUUUUGAUUUUUUAUAUGAUGUCACGUGUCACAAAUUUCAAUUGAUGAUUAUUAAUCAGGUCACAAUUUCAUCUUAAGAUUAUUAUACAUGAUGUGUAUACCAUCUUAAGAUUAUUAUACAUGAUGUGAGACAUAUACAUGACAAGGUCUAUUCCAUGUCUCAUGAUGUGAGACACAUACACGACAAGGUCUAUUCCAUGUCUCAUAUGGAUUUCUCUUCCAAUUAACAAUACUUCAAUUCUAAAAUUCUCAAGAGAAACGUAACCACUAAGAACCAAAUGCCCAUUAGACAUGCAUUUAUCCCAGGUGUUGAGUGAGUUUCAAAAUUUGAGAUAAAGUACAACAACGAUACAUCUUAAGCCAACAAAAAAAAAAAAAAACAAUUUGAACUUAGCGACAACUUGAAUCCAUUACCUAAAUUUGAUUGCGGAAAUAAAAUAGAAGAGACCUUGGUAGAAGUAGGAUCUGAAGUGAUUGGACAGAAUUCUUAUACCUUUACCUGCAGUAACAACUAACAAGAAAACAAUGAAAUACUCAGCAAUUAUUACAAGAAAAGCAUGGUUUAAAGAUCAAUGACGGGGAGGAGAAUAAGAAUAAUAUUAAGUAGUAGUACAAAAGUAACAAUUUUGAAUAACUUAAAGCAGUGCUAGUUAAAGAUCACCUAAUUUCAAAGAUUCAGAAAAGAAGGUUGAAGCAAGAAAAGGACAAAGCAAAAAUAACAAAACAUAAAAAGGACCAAGCGUGCAAGUAGAGAAUCUAUUGAGUUAUCCCAACUUUUUUGUCCCCAGAAAACGAUCAGCCACCGCCCCCUGGAGCUGGAAUUGGAUCUCAAGUUUGUAGUCUCUUGAGAUAUUGACAAAACUUCAAUCCUAUUUAAUAUCUCAACAGCUUUUCUUUUAAAAAUCCAAAGCCAAAAGAAAAAAAAAACGAUAAUGAUUGGUUCCAUUACGUGUGCUAAAACCACUUGAGGUGAGGGAUGCAAUCAUCUGGACCUGUAAAAAGAAAACAGAAAUCCCUCUCAAUGCAAGUCCAUCUGCAUGAACAAGGAGUUGAAUGAGCCAAUACAAGUUGGCUCAGUUGGCAAAGACAGGUCAUUUCUUCAUAAAAGAUCGUGUGUUUGAAUCCUGUUGUCGAUGUGAGGGCUGUGUUAAUGGGUAAUCUGUAAAUAUCUCUAUAAGCGACCUAUGGUCCCGGAAGCUUGUCCUAAUCCACGAUAGUGAUUGGAACUGAACUCACUCUUUUUUACCAAAAAGAAAAAAAGGCUGAAUGAACAUAUUAGAAAUAAAAUUACUAUUGAUUGACUACAUAAUUCAAAGGGUGAACGCAGAGCUGAUUGUAAGAUAGACAACAGCACUUUAAUUUUAGAGCUUCAAAAGAAACGCAAUACCGAGACCCAAAUGUGUGUUGAAAAUUCCUGGGUAGUCCAGCCCAACCAUCCUUCAAUAACAAUACGUCUAGAUUAUUAACAAACCCAAAACCAUCGGGCCACCAUUUCACCCCAAAUUAUUAAUAAUAUUAAUGAUAUGGCCAUAUCCACGAAAUAAAGAACAAAAAAUUAAACAAACCAUGCUCCAACCUACAAAAACAUUUUGCUUAUGCAACUACUGUUGCAUCUUCGUUUAAAACACAGCAAUAACAAUGAGAUGGGGAGUUGUAAAGCAUGAAUAAUAGCUUAAUUAGCCCUUCUGAUAUGAGAAAAAGAUGAAGUACUUGUUAGUUGUAUGUUGCUACUAGAAACUUUUGCUAGGCUUCGGGAUUGAGAACAACAACAGAAGAUUGCUAGUUUAAAAUUCUAUUCCAACAGAAGAGAAUAGGCAACUGAGCGAGAAAAAGAACAAGUAUGCAAUGCAUGAAGCUUCUCUGGUUCUCAUCUAUUCCUUCACAGCUGUAUAAACCACUAGAUUCUGAGCCCGAUAACCCAUUGAAAUUUAACCCCAAAGUUCAACUUCUGCGUAGCUCAAAACCCUGUAAUGCCGCAAAAACUGAUGAAAAUGAAAAUGGCCAGAAUUCAGUAAAGACUCUACCUUUACCUUCCCAUGUGAAACCCAUCACAAGCACAUCAAACCCAUUUGUGAAGCAUUGUUUAAAGCUUCGCCAGAGCUCUUCUUAUCGCCACUCCCAUGGCUCAGUUAUUCUGGUGGGCUCUACUCCUAUAAGGUCUCUUCGCUUUCUAUCUCUGUAUCGCUAAAUUCCUGUUUUCUUGAACAUUUGUUAAUCUUGGUUCAUUAUGAAUUAAGAUGUAUGUACUGGAAUGGGGUUUUGCUAAUUGUGUUUCUACAGGAUUUUGUUUCUUGUUUUUGAUAUGCCUUGUGAGUGUUUGUACCAAUGCUUGUGUUAGUGUGUGACAGUUUGUGGUUUGCAUUGGGAUGGUCAGCAAAGUGGUGAAAUUUUAGUGAUUGCAGUUAACAAUUUAAGAUUAAUGAUUUUACUGACUAUUGCAGAUGUCUCUCUAAGUGAGGAAAAUCCUGGCAGAGAUAUCAUUCUGCAAUUCUACUGCUGUGUAAUGCCGUGAGGAAUCAAUUAGUUCAUAGAUAUUUAUUUUCUAUGAUCAAAGCUGUGACUUGGGAAUCUAGUGAAAAGUAAAGGAAUCAAUGUUAAUGCAACUUGAGUGGAAAACAACUCCAAUUUUAGGGAAAAGAUGAGGAAACCAGUUUUGUGCAGGGCUUGAGAGAUAAAUAGGAGGCUUUAGGUGGAGGUGUGAAUAAUAGUUCAAGUAGAACUCCGGUUAAACAUGAUAAUGAAUGCUUACUGCAUGCUCAAAAGAUCAUCAUUGAUGCCUCAUGCUUAGCUCUUUUUCCUCUGAUAUUGUUAUUUCUACUGCAGAGUAUUUACGUGAUUGUUAUAAACUUUUGCAGGGAGCUAUACAGAUUUCAAAACAAAAUUGAAGAUGGACUUGCUGCAAUAGAAUGCUUACUUGUGCUUGAUAACACUAAUGUUCCUGAAUACUUGAAUAAUCAGUCAAUUUGACAUGUCAAUGUUGGUUCACUGGUGAUGAAGAAAGUUUCUGGGCUGCAAUCAACUGAUUCCAUUGACAUGGUUGCGCUAAUAAAAAUUCCCUCAACAUUUCAUAGCAUUGGUAGUUAUCUGAAAGAAGAAGAUUGUCAUAAAUGGUUCCCAUCUCCUUAUCAGAUAUUAGUCCUAGAUGGAGUUCAGGUUAUUCUCCUAACAAUUACCGUUCUUACCAUUUCUAUUUGUUCAUUUUUUUCUUGGUGAAAGAAAUCCUUCCAGAUCACCCUUUUCAUGUUGGAUUCAGGUCAUCAAUAGUCUCCUAGUUUUGAAGUUAUAUUACACCCCAAAUUCGUUCUAAUCAGAGAAUUCAAAGCACCAGUGUCAACAGCCUACACGAAGGGGAUGCAGAUGAUGUGCCCAUCUUGCUCGCUUAAUUUUUUUAAAAGGUUUACCAAAACAUCGAUUCUUUGUCUGGUACUAUCUUGCACCAGUAAAGUCAAUCUGCCAAUUGAUCUUAGUAAGAAAACCAAAUUGCAAAACCUAGAUACCCGUGUAAAAGAAAACCCCGGACCAUCUUGAUCCAGUAAGCCUUUAGCAUUUUGAGUUAUAAAUGCUACAAUAAUAGUCACUUACUGCUUCAGAAGAAAGACAAGCCAAACUAUCUUGGAUCUAGAUUAUUUCAGUUUUCAACCGAACUUAUUUCAAUGUCAUAGUGUCAUUUAAGCUCCUGGGGUCCUUACCAAUGGACAGUGCUUAUGGUAGGAAAUGCAAAUAACAUAAUUGGAAGUUUCAGAUCUUGAAUGAAUUUUGGGGAAACCAAUUAUAAUUCAGCCUACCAAUAGUUCUUGCUGCUUGUGUACUAGCUCCUUUUGGAUGGUCUGCGAAUCACAAGCUCAUGAUGACUGUUCAUUGCAGGACCCUGCUAAUCUUGACAUGCUUCUUAGGUCAGCUAUGGCCUUUAGAUGGGUAAGGAAGAUUGUACCUUUUUAGUUUUUAAGUGCUUCUGGCCUUCCUUUCUUGUAAUAUAAUCAUGAAAAUGAAAUCUGCAUCUAGCGCUUGUCAUGAUGUCUUGUAGAAUGUUUGUCUCUGGUUAAAAGUAGCUUUUGAGGGCAUGAUGCUUAUUAACCUAAUGACCUUUUGUUCGUCAAGGUUUCAUCUUUGUGACAAGCCCAAGCUGUUUAUGAACAAAAGUAGUCCCUCUACUGCAGAAGUUGUUGCCGUGAUAAGUUGUGUCGUGCAUUGAUCCAGAACUGAACUUCCUUUCAGUAUUCUUAUCUCUCUUUGGUCUGGAGAGAAUUAAAAGAAACUGAUUUAAUUGCUGAUUUCAAUAGGAUGGUGUGUUCUUACUUUCUGACUGUUGUGACCCAUUCAAUGAUAAAGCCUUACGAGCAAGUGGAGGAGCCUCCUUUCAGCUUCCUGUAGUGUCUGGUGGUUGGACACGUUUAGAUGCUCUAAGAAGAGUUUUUCACAUGAAGAUUGUGCCUGUCAGUUCCUAUAACUUCAAUCUAAUUUGAAUAAAAAGUGCCAACAGGGUCAUUUAUCCCAUGGGUUAGUUUUGCAUAAUAAUAGGGGGAUAGAUGAUAAUGGAAGUUGCUAUUAGUGGUCAAUAAGCACUAUUAAGUCACGCAACCAGUAAGGAUGUCAACAUCUGCUCAGUUCAUCCAGUAAUAGUAGCUAGGGGUCAGCUACUAGAUUGGUUGUCAUGUAUCAGAAAUGGAUAUUUUUCGCUUAUAGUUGUGGUAAAGGUUUAUAAAGGAAGAAUGAUAAGAAGAUGCUGACUACUACCGCACGAGAGGAUUAGUAGCCGGUGAUGGCUGAGGUAUGGUAAAACAAUAGAAAUUGUUCUUUAGACAACUUAAUGUGCAUUUUUGACCUACAAAAUUGAAAAUUGAAAAUUGCAAUUGCAACAUAAAUAAUUGUUGAUUCAUAUAUUAUGGCUUAGCUACUUAAGUAAACCGUGAUACAUAAUUGAAGACACAUCAAAUUUUGCAGCUGAACGACUUGGAAAAGGGCUGGGGAUGUCGGGUAAUCUGCUGUUCUUUUCAAUUUUCUGGGGAAUUCUGUGCUUGUUGGAGCUUUAAAAAGAUCGGAAAUCAUGGCCAGAUGACUUCCAUGUUAGGAAGUGAAGUUUGUAUUGAGUUGUAUUCAAAAUCGUGGUUAAUAUCUAUCAUGAGUUUGUUUUCUGCACCUUACUCUAUCGAUUCUACCAGUUCAUUCAGUUGGCAUUAUUUGCAUUCUUCUCAUUAUAGGUACCCUUAAGCUCUUUUGUCUCAUGUACACAGUAAGAAACUUUUUUUUGGAUGCUGUUAAACCUGAUUAAGGAAUUUUUUAUAUGCACUCUAAACUCUUGUAUUCUAUUUUUCCAUGAAAAGUUUAGGUGGUUGUGGAAACCUGCAAGAACUGACCUUGCUUUUGUAGAUUCCUAGAUAUGAGCAAGGUAACUUUUUGGGCCCUACUAUAUUGUGUGAUGUUGCAACCAACAUGGAGUGCUACAAGGUACACUUCACUUUUCUCAUACUUGUCUGGUCAAUGCAAUUAAUAGGUGGUGAUAUUCUCUGAUCAUGAUGGUCAUAUCCUCUGGAACAAGAAUCAAAGAACUUGCAAAUUACUGAUGUAAUGUAAUUUUUUGAACAGGAGGAAAUGUUUGGGCCAGUUCUUUGUAUGCAGGUAAUUCUAGUUAUAGUUGAGUUUAUAUUAUUGAAUGUUGAUAGUCCAUUUUUCCAUAAUAAUUUCCUGAGCAGGAUUUACUAAUCAUAUUAUCUGUUUCGCUAGCAGGCUAACAGAUUUGAAGAAGCCAUUGCCAUUGUGAAUAGAAACAGGUUAUUCUUCUGAAUUCUGAUAUACUUGAUCUUCAAACAGUUAUUUAAAUACACUAUGUUGACACUAUUUUUUACCAUCAUUUAUUUCUAAAAAUACAGGACUGAGCAUACUUGCCCCAAGAAGUAAUAUAGAAAUUUCUUAGAACGUUGAAAUGAGCAUGUACUUGUGCCUCCUCUCUAUCUAUCUCUCAUCUCUUGCCAUCUGUCUGGUUUAAAAUGGAGCUACCUCACUUCAUUGUCAAAAUUUGCCCUUAUCAAAAAAUUUCUGUUCACAAAGCCAAGUUACUAAAGUUCCUUAUGUCUUAUUUCUACUCUUUUAUUGUCCUUUCUCAUAGGCAUGUGAAUGGAGCUUCCAUCUUUAGGGGUCGCAGCUAGGAAGUUCCAGAAUGAUGUUGAGUCUGGGCUGGUGAGCUGAUCCUUUUUAUUUUAUGUAACCAAGAACUGCUUUAGCUUUUCUAAGGCCAAAUUCUUUAUGUGGAGCUGUCUUGACUGUGCUAUCUACUUGAAUUGGCUUGAAUGGAAAAGUUAUUCUGCGUUAAAGUGGGGAAGUAGGAAACUACUUAUUGUAUCAUCAACCAAGACCUGGAAGUUAGACAUUUAGUAUAAGACGACAUCUUGUAUAUUUUCUUCACUGACAUAUAAGUUUGUUCAGGUUAGCUACCAUCAGAUACUUUGACUAAGUUGGGUAGCAAUUACGAAAUGUGCAUUUUAAUGUUAAAUAUUCGUUUUAAGUAGGAUUGGGGAAAUUUUCAUGUCAACUUGGUUUUCAUUGAUUUGUCACCAAGUCAUCUAUUUUGUUUUAGUUAAGCGAAUAGCCAAGUAUUGACUCAAACCGAGAUUUUAAUAAGAGUGUGGAAUCCAUCAGGUUGGAAUAAACGUGGCUGUCCCAAUUCCUUUGCCAUUUUCGUCGGUCAAUGGUUCAAAAGCAUCUUUUUCUGGUGAUCUCAAUUUCUGUGGUAUGUCACAGUUUUCUCUUAUCUUGGACAAACCCAGACAUAUCUUUUGCACCCUUUCCCAUCCCAACUCCACAUCGGAGUACAAAGUUAAAUUAAAUUAUAUUGACAAUCUCAGGAAAGGCUGGAUUGCAGUUUUACACACAGAUAAAAGCAGUAGCACAGCAAUGGAAGGACUUGCCAACCAGAAGGGUAUCAUUACCUCAUCCUCCAACAUCUGAGACAGAAAUCAGUUCUUGAGGGACAUUCUUAUCACAGCCACUUUCAUCUGAGAGUGAUAUACCUAGCAGAGAAGUGUCACCAGCUAUGCCUCUAGCUUUGGAGAAUGAUCUGCCGACUGAAAACUUAUACCUGCCAUUGCCCCCAAGUGAAGGGGAUGUAUCAAACGCGGAAGUAUUGCCUUCUACUCCACCGACAAGAGAGCCGGAAUUACCCAAGCAAGAAGGGGCAUUGGCCAUGUCUUUGAUAUCUGAAAGGGAUUCAGUUAACCUGAAAGUGUCAUUGCUGAUGCCUCUAGCGGCUGAGAUUGAUGCUGCUGGGCAAAGUGAAUCAUCGUCCUUGUGUUCGGUAUCUGAGCGGACAUAUCCAUGUCAAACCUCUCAAUGGGGUGAUCCACUUCCCCUGAUAUCACAAAGCACUGAAACUACUCCAUCAACUGCUAAGAAGGUUUAUAUGGCUCCAAAUUCUCAGAGGAUUGACACAUUAGCUCCUGGAAUCCAAAGGACAGAUACUGUGGACGCUUCAGAUUCUGAGAGAUUGUACUUUCCUGUGACUUGUAGUAGUGAGAUAAACCCAAUAUCUCUUAGGAAUGACAGUGUUAGUCCAAUGUCUCUCAGGCAUGAUAUUCAGAUGACAGACAUAAAUGUGCGUCCUGCUUCUGAGAUGGUUUAUAUGCCAGUAAUGUCUGAGCACAAAGAAAGUGUUGGUCCAACCUCACAAAGGACUGGUGUACUCCAUUUGAAACCAGACAAGAUGUACAUGGCGUCUCAUAGGAGAGAUGGUAUGGGUAUGAUGCCUCUAAUGGCCAAGGCAUCAGUUCCUCCAGCUUCUGGGAGUUUGUACAUGUCUACAUCUUGCUCAAAUGUGAUGGCUUCAACGUCUGACAAGAUGAGCGUACCUACAGAGAUUCAGCAUGACGGUAUAUCAUCAAAAUCUGAGAGGUUAUUCAUGCCUGCAAGUUCUCAGGGCAUAUAUGCCGAAAACCAAAUAAUGUCA
RNAcentral lists this long non-coding RNA (22494 nucleotides) under Coffea arabica (coffee). Its description in RNAcentral is "long non-coding RNA (CARA_LNC004938)". The record is from RNAcentral. Lineage: Eukaryota; Viridiplantae; Streptophyta; Magnoliopsida; Gentianales; Rubiaceae.